CCAGCUCGAAGGCCACGAAGCUCACUACGCACAGGAUGUCAUACAUCCGAUUUCGUGAGCGGGCUAAGGUCUGAGUAUUAUAAUCUCCCUCGAUUGGCUCUAGCAGGGCCUGGUCGUAAUGCGACCGAGCGAUGUACCAGAAAAUCAGCCUUUUCUCCUCGAUUACCCAAGAUCCUGUUAUUCAGGGGAGGUGAGGAGACUACGGCUUUGGCAUGCAUCGCGGGGAUCGGGCAGGGUUCUGGGUCGCUCUCUAUUGCCUUCAUCUCGCAGAUGUGCCCCCGAAAGGGCGCUCUGAGCGUAUAUCAGCAGCGAACGUAGCUGGCCAGACUAUCAACCAUAGCCCAUGGUCGACGUUGUUGGGUGAGAUGGGCGGUGUGAACAGUAAAACUCGGUGCAUUCAGCCUCACACUUGUCCUACGGUCAAGGUGUUGCAUAACACCAUAUCGUAGGGGGUGAUGUGUGGAUGCUAGAACCGAGGUAUUGUUCAAAUACCUUUUCUGUCCAGUGUGACGGUAUGAUGGGCUCGGUGAUGGGUCUAGCCAUAACGGCGAACUUGGUUGCUGCGCGCAAAAGAUGUUCCCUGCGAACGAGAAGGUAGUGGGCAUGGCCAUGCAGAGAACUCUUGCCCUUUAGUGCACUUCGUGGCUCACAUCUCUAUCUGGGACGUGAAACUCGAUUCAGACUACUCUCGGACUGG
This 697-nucleotide RNase P RNA is filed under the name Paxillus involutus ATCC 200175. RNAcentral describes it as "Nuclear RNase P". It matches the Rfam family "Nuclear RNase P". Rfam says of the family: Ribonuclease P (RNase P) is a ubiquitous endoribonuclease, found in archaea, bacteria and eukarya as well as chloroplasts and mitochondria. Its best characterised activity is the generation of mature 5'-ends of tRNAs by cleaving the 5'-leader elements of precursor-tRNAs. Lineage: Eukaryota; Fungi; Basidiomycota; Agaricomycetes; Boletales; Paxillaceae. The record is from Rfam by way of RNAcentral.